RNAcentral lists this transfer RNA (71 nucleotides) under Marmota monax (woodchuck). RNAcentral's name for it is "tRNA.Ala". Lineage: Eukaryota; Metazoa; Chordata; Mammalia; Rodentia; Sciuridae. The record is from RNAcentral.
GUAGGUGGAGCUCAGUGGAAGAGCACUUUCCUAGCAUGGGUGAGGCCCUGGGUUCAGUCCCCAGCAACACA